Otolemur garnettii (small-eared galago) is the source of this 1837-nucleotide long non-coding RNA. RefSeq lists it as uncharacterized. The transcript is spliced from 2 exons. The record is from RefSeq and is a predicted model, not a curated record. NCBI's taxonomy places the organism in Eukaryota, Metazoa, Chordata, Mammalia, Primates, Galagidae.
AUUAAAUCCAAGAUAAUACGAAUCAUUUUUAUAUUUUUGUCUUAAUAACCAGUGCUGUUCAUCUCCCUUAUCCCCACAGGGCAAAGUUUGCAAAUUCGAAGUCCGGGGGCUGAACUCAGCUUGCAGACAUGUUUUGUUUGGCCUGUAGGAUGUAUUAGAACUGUGAGAAUUAGUGGCCAAGAUUUAAAAGACUGGAUAUUUCCAGUCAACCUCUGCAUUUCCAGCUUUUCUUAAAAAAAUCAGAAGACCUCACCACUUUGGGCUCGAUUCUUACACGACAGUGAUUAGCCAAAACUGGGUAAAGCUGUCCCUUCAGAUGGGACUGAGUCUCCAGUUCACUGGAAUCCCCAGCUCACAGGCUGGACCUGUCCCUUGCCUUCUUCAUUUAUUUACAUGCCCUCCGUGCUGACCUGGCCCUGUAGGUACCUCAUUUUGCUACCCUGUCCUUGACUUCUCGAGUGCUCACAAAAAUGCCCAGAAAUGUACACAGUGGGCACUUAAGAUUGUGGGAUCUUAAAUGAAAUAAACAUUAAGUUCUACCACAGGGUCCAAGUAAACAAGAGGAUAAGAACAGGAUGGGAAGAAAAGUCUUUGCAGCGGCUUGUAAAAAAAGAAAAAAAAAAGCCGUAAGAGUUUUAGCAGAAGGUAUGAGGCAAUGGUGUUUUGAGACUGCCAACUAGCUAAUGUGAUCUCUGGCUCUGUGAUGAGGCGCGGAACACUCUGACAGGACGCGGGGCAGUCUGGGUCUUCCCUCGGCUCAGAUGCUUCUGAAUCAUCAUGUUCCUUCUUGGGGAUAGACUCGAAGUGGGAUUUGAACAAAGAGGUGAGCCACGGAUUGGUGAGAUGACUUGGAAUCUCUUCAUGGGAGUGAGAUUUGGAGAAGCUGGGGUCAUUGAUUCUGGAGAAGAGGAAAAGUUUUUUCACAUGUAAGAGAAGUCCAGAUGGAGAGGCAGUUUAUUUCUUUCUCCUGCUACUGGAAUCUGGUGCACAUGAGGCCUGGAGUCGCUCAGCCAUUUUUGCAGCAGCCCGAAGCUGGCCCAGGAGGACGGCUGAGACAGGAGAACUUCAGUAGUGUGGAAUUGGAGCCACGGAACUGAGUCUGAACUGAGAGCUGCUGACCUUCUGGGCUUUGGGGUAUGUAAGCCCAUCACUUGCUUUCUUUCCUUAUCAUUGUAGUUUAAUUUGGUUUUUUCUUCUUCUUCAAGUUCAGUGAACUCAUCCAAGCCAGAAAGGUUUCCUUCUAGUGACCUCAGUGAUUUGUGUGGGGGAGGCAGGGAGACCUAUUGAGGGCAUACAGGCACCUCUUCUCUCCACCUCAGUCUUGUGGCCUCAGCUGCCUCUCAAAUCCCUGAUUGCCCACUGGACUCCACCUACUGCAGCUAUCCGUCGCCGCACUUACCCAUGGAGUUAAAAGUCCUCAGGCCGACCAGCACUGCAGCUGAAAUCCCUGAUGCCUCCCAGCACUUCUGGACUCAACAAAGACCAAGCUGCAGCUGUGAGAUCUGGCUUCCCAAGCAGCUGCUGCAGGGGCUGGGUGGUACAGCUCAGGAGUGUGGGAGACUUAAAUCUCUGGCAGGUAAACUUGGAGCAAUGGAAUGCAAGAGAUGUAAGAGCUCUGGCAAAUAAAUUUCCUCUCCCUUCCUCCCUCCCAAGACUGAACCAAGGGAGCAUCUUCCUCCCUGAAAAGCCCAUUUGGAAAUAGCUCAUCUAGGUGGACGGAUGCCCCUGCUGAAAUGCAACACCAACCUCACGUUUCUUCCUUUGCUACCUCGCCUCCCUUUCUGCUCAGUUUUGCAGCUGUAAGAUUAUACUUCCUAAAUAAAGCAUUAGCACUUAA